UACAGAGGGUGCGAGCGUUGUCCGGAAUCACUGGGCGUAAAGGGCGCGUAGGUGGCUGGGUAAGUGUGCGGUGAAAGCCCGGGGCUCAACCCCGGGUCGGCCGUGCAGACUGCUUGGCUUGAGCAUAGUAGAGGCAGGUGGAAUUCCGGGUGUAGCGGUGGAAUGCGUAGAUAUAUGGAGGAAUACCAGUGGCGAAGGCGGCCUCCUGGCUCGAUACUGACGCUGAGGUGCGAAAGCGUGGGGAUCAAACAGG
This 253-nucleotide ribosomal RNA is filed under the name uncultured bacterium. Its description in RNAcentral is "partial 16S ribosomal RNA". It matches the Rfam family "Bacterial small subunit ribosomal RNA", at positions 524 to 776 of the family's 1533-position model. The record is from RNAcentral.